Brassica napus (rape) is the source of this 1135-nucleotide long non-coding RNA. RefSeq lists it as uncharacterized. Lineage: Eukaryota; Viridiplantae; Streptophyta; Magnoliopsida; Brassicales; Brassicaceae. The transcript has 3 exons. The record is from RefSeq and is a predicted model, not a curated record.
UAUGGGCUUUGUGAUAUUGUUAUUUGCUGGGCUUCCUUUUUCAGAAAACGACACCUCUGUUUUCCUCUUCUCUUCGCGUCGCCAAAAAAUGUUUUUUUUUCGAUUCAUCCAACCGGCGUCGAAUCUCCAUCUAUAAUACGUGAAGCCAUAGUUUCCGGCGAUAGCCUGUUAGAACCCGGUGGUGGUGUCUUUCGAUUGACUUCCAACUCACCGACAAAUAAAUUCUUGGAAACGUUACGAGAAUCAAUUCAUCCAAUCGCCGCCUUUAACGCCCUCAUCAACAACAUCUCCCACUCUUCACACGAUCUGUCAUUCAAUGUUGCUAUUGUGUGAAUCACCACUAUAAAUAGACUUGAGGGAUGGCCAUUGGACCACCACCGUGGAGGUCCGCCUAUUUUGGGAGGCGAGGUACGUGAAGCGAGGAUUGAGCUUAUGUGUAUAGACAUGCUCAUCCUAAUGUAAAGGUACAAAACUCAUGAUCUUCAAGCCAUUUCUUGAAAAUUUUUAGAUUCUUGAUUUGAAUGAUGAUAAAGGUUUCCAUUUAAUAUAAAAGAGUAUGUUUUGUCCUGUGAGAUUCAUCAGUUGUUUCUCCUCAUUAAUUAUCUUUUAAAGAAAUCUGUCUUGGAAAAUUGCUAAUUCUUAUGUCCACCGACGAGGUCUGCCUCCUAAGGUUCAGGAAUGUGAAUGCUCCUCCAUGACGCAGAGGCAGUGGAGACUGCAACAGCGUGUUAGAACGACCAGACAGCAAGUCGGAUAGAUUUUACUGUACAGUGAUCGUUAAGUUUAUAUUCUUUGGAACUUGCAAGUAAAGGAAUGAUGGUUUGACCAAUCGAAGUUCGGGUGAGUCUAGAGCUAACUCAUCCACGAGUACCGGGAGUGGUGAGGUCCCAGUGAACCAAACGCCAACACUCAAUGAAACCACAACAGCUGCUCAAUCAUUUCUUGGCAUGGUAACCACAUGUUGCAUCAAUGGAGAGUGCACUGGAAAAAUCACACAAUGUUCCAUUGUUCUUUUCCUAAAAACAUGUCUGUUUUUAGUUUCAUUUUUUUAAUAACAAAGAAAUAACAUAAUUUUAAUAUAAUUUAAUUUCAGGUACGCAACUUAUUUAAUCAAUAAAAGCAAAUUUCAAUUUUA